Molecule: ribosomal RNA, 479 nt
Filed under: Paenibacillus glycanilyticus
Lineage: Bacteria; Bacillati; Bacillota; Bacilli; Caryophanales; Paenibacillaceae
Description: bacterial SSU rRNA
Rfam family: Bacterial small subunit ribosomal RNA
Source: RNAcentral
UGCAAGUCGAGCGGACUUUGCCUUCGGGGAAAGUUAGCGGCGGACGGGUGAGUAACACGUGGGUAACCUGCGCAUAAGACUGGGAUAACAUUCGGAAACGAAUGCUAAUACCGGAUACGCGAAUCGGUCGCAUGAUCGGAUCGGGAAAGGCGGAGCAAUCUGCCGCUUAUGGAUGGACCCGCGGCGCAUUAGCUAGUUGGGGGGGUAACGGGUCACCAAGGCGACGAUGCGUAGCCGACCUGAGAGGGUGAUCGGCCACACUGGGACUGAGACACGGCCCACACUCCUACGGGAGGCAGCAGUAGGGAAUCUUCCGCAAUGGACGAAAGUCUGACGGAGCAACGCCGCGUGAGUGAUGAAGGUUUUCGGAUCGUAAAGCUCUGUUGCCAGGGAAGAACGCUUGCGAGAGUAACUGCUCGCAAGGUGACGGUACCUGAGAAGAAAGCCCCGGCUAACUCCCCGCCCGCAGCCGCGGUAAU